This 202-nucleotide long non-coding RNA is filed under the name Salvia miltiorrhiza (redroot sage). Its description in RNAcentral is "long non-coding RNA (SMIL_LNC011356)". The record is from RNAcentral. Lineage: Eukaryota; Viridiplantae; Streptophyta; Magnoliopsida; Lamiales; Lamiaceae.
CCCAAUUGAUUAAAAGUUAACUAGUUUUAAUUAUAAGUUCGACAAAAAUAUCCAAAAAUAAAAGUUAUUUUUAAAGGCUAAAAGCAAUAACUUCAAAGAGUAUUUACUUGAAAGGAAAGCUAUUAACUUAAAAUUUAAUAAUUAAGUUAACUUAAAAUUAAUAAUUUUAAUAUAGAUGGAUAAGAGACUAACUUUUUCUAAU